RNAcentral lists this long non-coding RNA (1503 nucleotides) under Parus major (Great Tit). Its description in RNAcentral is "lncRNA (ENSPMJG00000005154.1)". The record is from RNAcentral. Lineage: Eukaryota; Metazoa; Chordata; Aves; Passeriformes; Paridae.
AUGUCUUUGGUAAAAAGAAAAAGAAAAAGAAAAUUAAUCAAUUUAAACAUUGGCUUUGCAGAGACCUGUAAUGGGCAAAUGGCCAAGGAAACUCUGCUGCAAAGAAUGUUGCUGGAUGCAUGGAGGGAGCUGAGUUUUCUUCAGAUUAGCUUUUUGUCUAUGCACUGUUUCACAUUGAAAAAAGAAUCACAUGUAUGGAGAAUGAAAAACUUUAUAGGGAAAUAAUGGUUUUGUCUGUUCUUGAUUUCUUACAUAUUCGGUUACUUUCUGAAUAUAUCAUAUGGAUUAUUGUACUCCAAAUGCAUUUUGGGGUAGACAUCUACCAACACAAUAAUCAGUAGUGUUUACAUUACAAUCAGACUUGACUCAUGCCUGUAAAUUCAUCCCAUUUUACUUAUUUACACACAGAUUUUCUUCCCACAUUUUCCCCCAACAGACCACAUAUAAUGCAAGGAAUGGUUCAGGAAAUCUGAACUCAAAUCUGCAAAAGUUGUAAAAUAUCAGGAUAAGGCUGCUGCUUAAGGUAGAAAAAUAACUGGUAGCUGGGAUUAGGAGGUGAUCACCCGUGGACUAACUCUGGAGGAAGAUCUGGGCUACUGUCAAUGUAUUUCAGCCCUAGAAACAGAAAGAAAUUUGAAUGGUGACCAUCAAGCAUCCCACACCUCCUUGUCUAGAUUGUGAAUCAGCCAAGAUAAAAUGAGCUUUUAAGAAAUGGCAAAAGAGAGCAAGCAUCCACUGACAUGACAUUUUACAUAGGAGGUGAAAAUCACUUCAGGCAAAAGGAAGGUUUGAAUGUGCAGCUUUGGAAGCUGAAGCUACCUGUAUUCCAAAUUUCAUUCAGUUAAGAUUUCAACAUAUGGAAAUGACAACUGCAAGUCUUGCUCUCUGUAGACAGGUUUGUUCUUGAAAUUCUUUAAAAGAUAGAUUUUGAACAGCAAUUUUUCAUGAAAUUUGGAUGAAGAUAAAAAGAAGGGCCUGAGACAAGCAACAAAACCAAAAUUAUUUCAGGUAGAGACAUCAUUUGAAGCUCUGAAACUGCCUGUCCCUAGUUCUGCCACAGUACCUGUGUGGCUGGUGUGGAGAAUUGAAUUUCAAAUGGAUUGAAAGCUGUGGAAAACACAUCACCCCUCAAACACUUCCCAGUCUAUCUGGAAGGCCAAGUGACUUGAUCCACAGUCCAGCAGUGUAUGAAAAAGCCUGUACCAUUGGAAGCAUCAAUGUUCUCCUGAUUCAAUGUAAAGCAAAAUCAUCAGGCAAAGAUCACAGGUGCUCACAGGAACAUAAAUUCAGUGAAAAUUACCCAGAGGUUGAAUUUAAUUGGCAAACACAGCAUUGUUUUGUCAGGUCUAAUAGUGACUCACCAUGUUAAAAGUCUAAAUGCAAUGGCACAGCAAAAUAAUAUUAAAAAAAAUAUGCGGUCAGGAAAAGCAUCACCAAAACCUCUCAAGGAAAUAUAUCUGCCAUUAAAGUGCUAAAAUAAACACUUUGCCAAAUAAGUUUUCA